UACGGGGGGGGCAAGCGUUGUUCGGAAUUACUGGGUGUAAAGGGCUUGUAGGUGGCCAACUAAGUCAGACGUGAAAUCCCCCGGCUUAACCGGGGAACUGCGUCUGAUACUGGAUGGCUAGAGAUUGGGAGAGGGACGCGGAAUUCCAGGUGUAGCGGUGAAAUGCGUAGAUAUCUGGAGGAACACCGGUGGCGAAGGCGGCGUCCUGGACCAACACUGACACUGAAAAGCGAAAGCCAGGGGAGCAAACGGG
This 253-nucleotide ribosomal RNA is filed under the name uncultured bacterium. RNAcentral's name for it is "partial 16S ribosomal RNA". It matches the Rfam family "Bacterial small subunit ribosomal RNA", at positions 524 to 776 of the family's 1533-position model. The record is from RNAcentral.